This 272-nucleotide ribosomal RNA is filed under the name uncultured prokaryote. RNAcentral's name for it is "partial 16S ribosomal RNA". It matches the Rfam family "Bacterial small subunit ribosomal RNA", at positions 524 to 795 of the family's 1533-position model. The record is from RNAcentral.
UACGGAGGGGGCUAGCGUUGUUCGGAAUUACUGGGCGUAAAGCGCACGUAGGCGGAUCAGCCAGUCAGGGGUGAAAUCCCGGGGCUCAACCCCGGAACUGCCCUUGAUACUGCUGGUCUGGAGUUCGAGAGAGGCGAGUGGAAUUCCGAGUGUAGAGGUGAAAUUCGUAGAUAUUCGGAGGAACACCAGUGGCGAAGGCGGCUCGCUGGCUCGACACUGACGCUGAGGUGCGAAAGCGUGGGGAGCAAACAGGAUUAGAUACCCGUGUAGUU